UGUAAACUUUAGGGGUGCUAAUUAAUUUUGGCUGAGAAAAACCCUUAGAACCUGAUCUGGUUAAUACCAGCGAAGGGAAAAGUUAGAACUUGCAU
Molecule: non-coding RNA, 95 nt
Filed under: Mesonia phycicola
Lineage: Bacteria; Pseudomonadati; Bacteroidota; Flavobacteriia; Flavobacteriales; Flavobacteriaceae
Description: TPP sequence
Rfam family: TPP riboswitch aptamer (THI element)
About the family: Vitamin B(1) in its active form thiamin pyrophosphate (TPP) is an essential coenzyme that is synthesised by coupling of pyrimidine and thiazole moieties in bacteria. The previously detected thiamin-regulatory element, thi box was extended, resulting in a new, highly conserved RNA secondary structure, the THI element, which is widely distributed in eubacteria and also occurs in some archaea.
Source: Rfam by way of RNAcentral